Molecule: non-coding RNA, 128 nt
Organism: Arachis ipaensis
Lineage: Eukaryota; Viridiplantae; Streptophyta; Magnoliopsida; Fabales; Fabaceae
Source: RefSeq, a predicted model, not a curated record
AAAGACCACCAAAGCCUUGGAUUGCCAACUGGACUAAGGAGCAGUUGGUGGAAAGAAUGACUGCAGAAAGAGAGGAGAUUUUGGGGAUUGUGAAGAUGGCGGAGACAAGAACAAGAGAUAAAAUGAAA